This is a long non-coding RNA of Parus major (Great Tit), 356 nucleotides long. RefSeq lists it as uncharacterized. The transcript has 2 exons. Lineage: Eukaryota; Metazoa; Chordata; Aves; Passeriformes; Paridae. The record is from RefSeq and is a predicted model, not a curated record.
AGGUAACAAGUGACAGGACAACAGGACAGCAGCCUCAGACUCCACCAGGGCAUGUUUAGUCUUGCAGGCCCAAAGGAUUUUCUUCAUGCCAAAACUUGCCCUGUGCCUCUUUACUAAAGCUGCAAGACUUUACCUGGAGGAGAGAGGCCUUGGAGCUUUUAUUGUGCCUUGCAAGCCCAGAUUACAUCGACCACAUUGACUGAUCACAGCAACUUGACUCAUGCAAAGACCAGCUGAACAUCAGAGGCUCUUUGGGACCCAUGAGACAGCAACACAGCCCCCUACACCAACUAAAGGUGGUGGCACACGAUACUGAUUUUGCUGCUUCAGUAAUAAAGUAUGUCUAAGCAUUAGGA